CUUAUUUUUUAUCUAAUAUAAUUUCUGCUCAAUGAAGAAAUUUUAAUAGCCACUAUAGUGCUAAGGUAGCAUAAUAAUUUGUUUUUUAAUUGAAAAAUUGAAUGAAUGAAUACACUAGAAAUUAAUUGUUUAAUUUUAUUAAAUGUAAUUUUAAUUUGAAUGAAAAAUUUCAAAUUUUUCUUUAAGGCGAUAAGACCCUAUGAACCUUUAUUUUAAAAAAAAAAUAAAAAAUUUAUUUGGGGAAAAUUAAAAUAAAAUUAUUUUAAUAAAAAUUGAUCUUUACAAAACUAAAUGAAAAAGGUACUCUAGGGAUAACAGCGUUAUAGUUAUUAAAGCCCAUAUUUAAGUAACUGU
This 354-nucleotide ribosomal RNA is filed under the name Acartia tonsa. Its description in RNAcentral is "partial 16S ribosomal RNA". Lineage: Eukaryota; Metazoa; Arthropoda; Copepoda; Calanoida; Acartiidae. The record is from RNAcentral.